This 1529-nucleotide ribosomal RNA is filed under the name Bacteroidota bacterium. RNAcentral describes it as "bacterial SSU rRNA". It matches the Rfam family "Bacterial small subunit ribosomal RNA". The record is from RNAcentral. Lineage: Bacteria; Pseudomonadati; Bacteroidota.
UACAAUGGAGAGUUUGAUCCUGGCUCAGGAUGAACGCUAGCGGCAGGCUUAACACAUGCAAGUCGAGGGGUAACAGGGAAAAGCUUGCUUUUCCGCUGACGACCGGCGCACGGGUGCGUAACACGUAUGCAACCUACCUCUUACUGAAGGAUAGCCCAGAGAAAUUUGGAUUAAUACUUCAUAACACCACAAGACCGCAUGGUCUAAUGGUUAAAGGUUACGGUAAGAGAUGGGCAUGCGGCCUAUUAGUUUGUUGGUGAGGUAAUGGCUCACCAAGACUACGAUAGGUAGGGGGUCUGAGAGGAUUAUCCCCCACACUGGUACUGAGACACGGACCAGACUCCUACGGGAGGCAGCAGUGAGGAAUAUUGCGCAAUGGACGAAAGUCUGACGCAGCCAUGCCGCGUGAAGGAUGACGGCGCUACGCGUUGUAAACUUCUUUUAUAUACCAAGAAACCUUCGGACGUGUCCGAAGCUGACGGUAGUAUAUGAAUAAGCACCGGCUAACUCCGUGCCAGCAGCCGCGGUAAUACGGAGGGUGCAAGCGUUAUCCGGAUUUAUUGGGUUUAAAGGGUCCGUAGGCGGAUCAUUAAGUCAGUGGUGAAAGCCGACAGCUCAACUGUCGAACUGCCAUUGAUACUGGUGAUCUUGAGUACGGUUGAAGUAGGCGGAAUAUGACAUGUAGCGGUGAAAUGCUUAGAUAUGUCAUAGAACACCGAUUGCGAAGGCAGCCUACUAAGCCGUUACUGACGCUGAGGGACGAAAGUGUGGGGAGCGAACAGGAUUAGAUACCCUGGUAGUCCACACCGUAAACGAUGAUUACUCGGUAUUGGCUUUAUUGUCAGUGCCCAAGCGAAAGUGAUAAGUAAUCCACCUGGGGAGUACGGCCGCAAGGUUGAAACUCAAAGGAAUUGACGGGGGCCCGCACAAGCGGUGGAGCAUGUGGUUUAAUUCGAUGAUACGCGAGGAACCUUACCAGGGCUUAAAUGUAGAACGACCGGGGUGGAAACACCCCCUUUUUCGAACGGUCUACAAGGUGCUGCAUGGUUGUCGUCAGCUCGUGCUGUGAAGUGUCGGGUUAAGUCCCAUAACGAGCGCAACCCCUAUUUCUAGUUGCCAGCGGUUCGGCCGGGGACUCUAGAGAAACUGCCAGCGUAAGCUGUGAGGAAGGUGGGGACGACGUCAAAUCAUCACGGCCCUUACGUCCUGGGCCACACACGUGCUACAAUGGUGGGGACAACGAGUUGCCAACCCGCGAGGGUGAGCUAAUCUCUCAAACCCCAUCUCAGUUCGGAUCGGAGUCUGCAACUCGACUCCGUGAAGUUGGAAUCGCUAGUAAUCGCGCAUCAGCCAUGGCGCGGUGAAUACGUUCCCGGGCCUUGUACACACCGCCCGUCAAGCCAUGGAAUCUGGGGGCGCCUGAAGUCAGUAACCGCAAGGAGCUGCCUAGGGCGAAUCUGGUAACUAGGGCUAAGUCGUAACAAGGUAGCCGUACCGGAAGGUGCGGCUGGAUUAACUCCUUUUUAGAG